This 615-nucleotide ribosomal RNA is filed under the name Lodderomyces parapsilosis. Its description in RNAcentral is "eukaryotic LSU rRNA". It matches the Rfam family "Eukaryotic large subunit ribosomal RNA", at positions 65 to 664 of the family's 3401-position model. The record is from RNAcentral. Lineage: Eukaryota; Fungi; Ascomycota; Pichiomycetes; Serinales; Debaryomycetaceae.
CCAACACGUGGAUUCGCCUUACCUACGCGGCGAGUGAAGCGGCAAUAGCUCAAAUUUGAAAUCUGGCACUUUCAGUGUCCGAGUUGUAAUUUGAAGAAGGUAUCUUUGGGUCUGGCUCUUGUCUAUGUUUCUUGGAACAGAACGUCACAGAGGGUGAGAAUCCCGUGCGAUGAGAUGUCCCAGACCUAUGUAAAGUUCCUUCGAAGAGUCGAGUUGUUUGGGAAUGCAGCUCUAAGUGGGUGGUAAAUUCCAUCUAAAGCUAAAUAUUGGCGAGAGACCGAUAGCGAACAAGUACAGUGAUGGAAAGAUGAAAAGAACUUUGAAAAGAGAGUGAAAAAGUACGUGAAAUUGUUGAAAGGGAAGGGCUUGAGAUCAGACUUGGUAUUUUGUAUGUUACUCUCUCGGGGGUGGCCUCUACAGUUUACCGGGCCAGCAUCAGUUUGAGCGGUAGGAUAAGUGCAAAGAAAUGUGGCACUGCUUCGGUAGUGUGUUAUAGUCUUUGUCGAUACUGCCAGCUUAGACUGAGGACUGCGGCUUCGGCCUAGGAUGUUGGCAUAAUGAUCUUAAGUCGCCCGUCUUGAAACACGGACCUCCUGUGUGAAUGGAUCCCCCUAA